GCAGAACAAGCAGGCGAUGAAUACUCAAGGUGAAAAGAAUCAUUGGACGAAAACUUAAAUCGUUUUCGGAUGGAUUGAAUAAGGUCUGAAUAAUUCAUGAGCUUAUUGAGGAGAAGGACAAAGCCAUUGCCAGAAAAAACAAAUUGAACACACAAAGAACCAACAGUGCUCCUGCAAAAAAAACAAAAACACACAGGUCCAAAAGUUACUACCCCCAGUAAAUGUCAAUUUCUACAAAAACAGACUGAAAAACAUAAGUAAUAUGCUAGAAGUACAAAUAAUAAGCAAUGAAAACAACAACUAACCACAAUUAAAAAACAAAAACACACAGGUCCAAAAGUUACUACCCCCAGUAAAUGUCAAUUUCUACAAAAACAUACUGAAAACAUAAGUAAUAUGCUAGAAGUACAAACAAUAAGUAAUGAAAACAACAACUAACCACAAUUAAAAACAAAAACACACAGAUCAUAAAUAUUACUACCCCCAGUAAAUGUCAAUUUCUACAAAAACAGACUGAAAAACAUAAGUAAUAUGUUAGAAGUACAAAAAAAAAAGCACAGCAAAAACAUUAAAAACAACAAUAAGACAUAGAUCGCAAACAUUACUACCCCCAGGAACAAGUCCAAAAAAUCCAGAAAUUUUCGAAACAACAUGCAAACGAAGCGCAUUCAAGAAGCGACCUAUAAUUCAACUAAAAAAAUAAAGAAAAGAGGAAUUGAAGAGAUUCAAACUGAGUAGGAACCGAAGAGCAAACCAAAGCCCGAUCUAGCUCCAUUUACUACGUAAUUCUGCUAAGGGAAGAGAGGUUAUGGUGCCGCCGGAAAACCGCAACGGAAAUUGGCUCGAAAUCGCAGUCUGAAACAACGCCGUCGGUCCUCUCUGAAACGACGGCUCUCCGAUCGCUCUCUCUCUCUCNNNNNNNNNNNNNNNNNNNNCUCUCUCUCUCUCUCUCUCUCUCUCUCUCUCUCUCCGAUCGUAAACUUUCUCUCUCUUCAAAACAGAAAUUUGAAAAUAGAUCUCGUCUGGUAUAUAUAGUCUACGGGUUGAGGGUAUUUUCGACAGAAAAAACCAUUAAAAGUAGGCUCAUUAGAAAAGUUUUGUCCAAUAAGACACAUUUCACACACCUUAUAUUGAAGUGGGCAUAUUUCUUUUAAAAACAUUUAAAUGGGCAAAAAGAAGCUUAAAUUAGUACUAAAGUGUCAUUUACUCUUGAAUUAAUCAUCGAAAAUUAAAGUUGGCUGUAUGAUAUUAACAAUGUGGCGCGCCAUCCCGAUGGGUCACUUUCUACUAGAAAAAUAGUUGUGUUCAUCAUGUGUUGGUACACAUCCUAUUUUAAUCAAAUAAAACGUACGAUCAAAGUAAAUAAAUUGCAAGUGAUAAUUUCUUAUUUAGUUGGAGACCACGAAGUCAAAAACGGCUUCUUUUAUCUAUGUGUAGGCUUUUUA
Molecule: long non-coding RNA, 1445 nt
Filed under: Fragaria vesca (wild strawberry)
Lineage: Eukaryota; Viridiplantae; Streptophyta; Magnoliopsida; Rosales; Rosaceae
Description: long non-coding RNA (FVES_LNC005406)
Source: RNAcentral